GGAUUUUGGUACAGAUUGUGUAGGAUAGGUGGGAGCCAUAGAAGCCGAGGCGCUAGCUUCGGUGGAGGCAACCUUGAAAUACCACCCUGUUUGUGCUGGGAUUCUAACCAUGGUCCGUGAUCCGGAUCGGGAACAGCGUCAGGUGGGCAGUUUGACUGGGGCGGUCGCCUCCUAAAUUGUAACGGAGGCGCCCAAAGGUUCCCUCAGACUGGUUGGCAAUCAGUCGUUGAGUGCAAUGGCAAAAGGGAGCUUGACUGCGAGACCCACAAGUCGAGCAGGUGCGAAAGCAGGGCAUAGUGAUCCGGCGGUUGCGUGUGGAAGCGCCGUCGCUCAACGGAUAAAAGGUACCCCGGGGAUAACAGGCUCAUCUUCCCCAAGAGUCCAUAUCGACGGGAAGGUUUGGCACCUCGAUGUCGGCUCGUCGCAUCCUGGGGCUGAAGUAGGUCCCAAGGGUUGGGCUGUUCGCCCAUUAAAGCGGUACGCGAGCUGGGUUUAGAACGUCGUGAGACAGUUCGGUCCCUAUCCGAUGCAGCCGUAGGAAACCUGAGGAAGGCUGUCCCUAGUACGAGAGGACCGGGACGGACGUAGCUCUCGUGUGCCAGUUGUCCUGCCAAGGGCACCGCUGGUUUGCGACCUACGGGAGGGAUAAGCGCUGAAGGCAUCUAAGUGCGAAGCCUGUUCCGAGAUGAGGUUUCCCACAGGGUUAACCUGGUAAGGCCCGUGGUAGACGACCACGUUGAUAGGCCGGAGGUGUACGCACGGUAACGUGUUCAGCCGACCGGUACUAAUCGGCCGAGGGCUUGGGGAU
Molecule: ribosomal RNA, 808 nt
Filed under: Actinomycetota bacterium
Lineage: Bacteria; Bacillati; Actinomycetota
Description: partial 23S ribosomal RNA
Rfam family: Bacterial large subunit ribosomal RNA
Source: RNAcentral